AAGUAAGAAGCAUAAGAUAUGCAUUUAAUUUCGACCUAAAAAAUUGUUUAAUAGACCUUACUUAGGAU
This 68-nucleotide transfer RNA is filed under the name Chalcophana sp. N69. RNAcentral's name for it is "tRNA-Arg". Lineage: Eukaryota; Metazoa; Arthropoda; Insecta; Coleoptera; Chrysomelidae. The record is from RNAcentral.